UACAGAGGGUGCAAGCGUUGUUCGGAAUCAUUGGGCGUAAAGGGCGUGUAGGCGGUUUGUUAAGUCAUGUGUGAAAUCCCUCGGCUCAACCGGGGAACGACGCAUGAAACUGGCAAGCUAGAGUACCAAAGAGGGGGGUGGAAUUUCCUGUGUAGCGGUGAAAUGCGUAGAUAUAGGAAGGAACACCAGUGGCGAAGGCGACCACCUGGACUGAUACUGACACUGAGGUGCGAAAGCGUGGGGAGCAAACAGG
This 253-nucleotide ribosomal RNA is filed under the name uncultured bacterium. Its description in RNAcentral is "partial 16S ribosomal RNA". It matches the Rfam family "Bacterial small subunit ribosomal RNA", at positions 524 to 776 of the family's 1533-position model. The record is from RNAcentral.